AGUGAACGCUGGCGGUAGGCCUAACACAUGCAAGUCGAACGGCAGCACAGUAAGAGCUUGCUCUUACGGGUGGCGAGUGGCGGACGGGUGAGGAAUACAUCGGAAUCUACUUUUUCGUGGGGGAUAACGUAGGGAAACUUACGCUAAUACCGCAUACGACCUACGGGUGAAAGCAGGGGAUCUUCGGACCCUGCGCGAUUGAAUGAGCCGAUGUCGGAUUAGCUAGUUGGCGGGGUAAAGGCCCACCAAGGCGACGAUCCGUAGCUGGUCUGAGAGGAUGAUCAGCCACACUGGAACUGAGACACGGUCCAUGCUCCUACGGGAGGCAGCAGUGGGGAAUAUUGGACAAUGGGCGCAAGCCUGGUCCAGCCAUACCGCGUGGGUGAAGGAGGCCUUCGGGUUGUAAAGCCCUUUUGUUGGGAAAGAAAAGCAGCAGGUUAAUACCCCGCUGUUCUGACGGUACCCAAAGAAUAAGCACCGGCUAACUUCGUG
RNAcentral lists this ribosomal RNA (492 nucleotides) under uncultured bacterium. Its description in RNAcentral is "partial 16S ribosomal RNA". It matches the Rfam family "Bacterial small subunit ribosomal RNA", at positions 29 to 507 of the family's 1533-position model. The record is from RNAcentral.